RNAcentral lists this ribosomal RNA (827 nucleotides) under uncultured marine organism. RNAcentral describes it as "SSU rRNA". It matches the Rfam family "Bacterial small subunit ribosomal RNA", at positions 60 to 881 of the family's 1533-position model. The record is from RNAcentral.
AGUCGAACGGUAACAUAGAGAAGCUUGCUUCUUUGAUGACGAGUGGCGCACGGGUGCGUAACGCGUAUACAAUCUGCCUCUUACAGGGGGAUAGCCUUUGGAAACGAAGAAUAAUACCCCAUAGUAUGUAUUUAUCGCAUGGUAAUUACAUUAAAGAUUUAUCGGUAAGAGAUGAGUAUGCGUCCUAUUAGCUAGAUGGUGUGGUAACGGCACACCAUGGCAACGAUAGGUAGGGGCCCUGAGAGGGGGAUCCCCCACACUGGUACUGAGACACGGACCAGACUCCUACGGGAGGCAGCAGUGAGGAAUAUUGGACAAUGGGCGCGAGCCUGAUCCAGCCAUGCCGCGUGCAGGAAGACUGCCCUAUGGGUUGUAAACUGCUUUUAUACGGGAAGAAACCCACCUACGUGUAGGUGGCUGACGGUACCGUAAGAAUAAGCAUCGGCUAACUCCGUGCCAGCAGCCGCGGUAAUACGGAGGAUGCAAGCGUUAUCCGGAAUCAUUGGGUUUAAAGGGUCCGUAGGUGGACAAUUAAGUCAGAGGUGAAAUCCUGCAGCUCAACUGUAGAAUUGCCUUUGAUACUGGUUGUCUUGAAUUAUUGUGAAGUGGUUAGAAUAUGUAGUGUAGCGGUGAAAUGCAUAGAUAUUACAUAGAAUACCAAUUGCGAAGGCAGAUCACUAACAAUAUAUUGACACUGAUGGACGAAAGCGUGGGGAGCGAACGGGAUUAGAUACCCCGGUAGUCCACGCCGUAAACGAUGGUCACUAGCUGUUCGGACUUCGGUCUGAGUGGCUAAGCGAAAGUGAUAAGUGACCCACCUGGGGAGU